UGCGCAGGUGGGCUUGUAAGUCAGUGGUGAAAUACUGCCGCUUAACGGUAGAACUGCCAUUGAUACUGCAAGUCUUGAGUAUGGUUGAGGUAGGCGGAAUGUGUUGUGUAGCGGUGAAAUGCAUAGAUACGACACAGAACUCCAAUUGCGAAGGCAGCUUACUAAGCCAUUACUGACGCUGAGGCACGAAAGCGUGGGGAGCGAACAGGAUUAGAUACCCUGGUAGUCC
RNAcentral lists this ribosomal RNA (229 nucleotides) under uncultured bacterium. RNAcentral describes it as "partial 16S ribosomal RNA". It matches the Rfam family "Bacterial small subunit ribosomal RNA", at positions 568 to 796 of the family's 1533-position model. The record is from RNAcentral.